RNAcentral lists this ribosomal RNA (449 nucleotides) under uncultured bacterium. Its description in RNAcentral is "bacterial SSU rRNA". It matches the Rfam family "Bacterial small subunit ribosomal RNA", at positions 355 to 825 of the family's 1533-position model. The record is from RNAcentral.
UGGGGAAUAUUGCGCAAUGGGGGAAACCCUGACGCAGCGACGCCGCGUGUGGGAUGAAGGUCUUCGGAUUGUAAACCACUGUCGCGAGGGACGAAGCUCUGACGGUACCUCGAAAGGAAGCACCGGCUAACUCUGUGCCAGCAGCCGCGGUAAUACAGAGGGUGCGAGCGUUGUCCGGAAUCACUGGGCGUAAAGGGCGCGUAGGCGGCCCGGUAAGUAGGGGGUGAAAUCUCAUGGCUCAACUGUGAGGCUGCCUUCUAGACUGCCAGGCUUGAGCACAGUAGAGGCGAGUGGAAUUCCCGGUGUAGCGGUGGAAUGCGUAGAGAUCGGGAAGAACAUCGGUGGCGAAGGCGGCCACCUGGUUGGAUACUGACGCUGAGACGCGAAAGCGUGGGGAGCAAACAGGAUUAGAUACCCUUGUAGUCCCUGAGCGGGCUGGCAAGGCGCAU